RNAcentral lists this ribosomal RNA (526 nucleotides) under uncultured bacterium. Its description in RNAcentral is "bacterial SSU rRNA". It matches the Rfam family "Bacterial small subunit ribosomal RNA", at positions 771 to 1296 of the family's 1533-position model. The record is from RNAcentral.
ACCUAAUAGAUACCCAGGUAGUCCACGCCCUAAACGAUGCGAACUGGAUGUUGGGUACAUUACGGUACUCAGUGUCGAUGCUAACGCGUUAAGUUCGCCGCCUGGGGAGUACGGUCGCAAGACUGAAACUCAAAGGAAUUGACGGGGGCCCGCACAAGCGGUGGAGUAUGUGGUUUAAAUUCGAUGCAACGCGAAGAACCUUACCUGGCCUUGACAUCUGUCGAAUCCUGCGGAGAUGCGGGAGUGCCGCAAGGAACGACAAGACAGGUGCUGCAUGGCUGUCGUCAGCUUGUGUCGUGAGAUGUUGGGUUAAGUCCCGCAACGAGCGCAACCCUUGUCCCUAGUUGCCAGCACAUCAUGGUGGGAACUCUAGGGAGACUGCCGGUGACAAACCGGAGGAAGGUGGGGAUGACGUCAAGUCCUCAUGGCCCUUACGGCCAGGGCUACACACGUACUACAAUGGUCGGUACAGAGGGUUGCGAAGCCGCGAGGCGAAGCCAAUCCCAGAAAACCGAUCCCAGUCCGG